Molecule: ribosomal RNA, 253 nt
Filed under: uncultured bacterium
Lineage: Bacteria
Description: partial 16S ribosomal RNA
Rfam family: Bacterial small subunit ribosomal RNA
Source: RNAcentral
UACAGAGGGUGCGAGCGUUGUUCGGAAUUACUGGGCGUAAAGGGCUCGUAGGCGGCCAACUAAGUCGGACGUGAAAUCCCUCGGCUUAACCGGGGAACUGCGUCCGAUACUGGAUGGCUUGAGUUUGGGAGAGGGAUGCGGAAUUCCAGGUGUAGCGGUGAAAUGCGUAGAUAUCUGGAGGAACACCGGUGGCGAAGGCGGCAUCCUGGACCAAUACUGACGCUGAGGAGCGAAAGCCAGGGGAGCAAACGGG